Molecule: ribosomal RNA, 410 nt
Filed under: Salmonella enterica
Lineage: Bacteria; Pseudomonadati; Pseudomonadota; Gammaproteobacteria; Enterobacterales; Enterobacteriaceae
Also listed under: 6 other names
Description: partial 23S ribosomal RNA
Rfam family: Bacterial large subunit ribosomal RNA
Source: RNAcentral
GCAGGUGCGAAAGCAGGUCAUAGUGAUCCGGUGGUUCUGAAUGGAAGGGCCAUCGCUCAACGGAUAAAAGGUACUCCGGGGAUAACAGGCUGAUACCGCCCAAGAGUUCAUAUCGACGGCGGUGUUUGGCACCUCGAUGUCGGCUCAUCACAUCCUGGGGCUGAAGUAGGUCCCAAGGGUAUGGCUGUUCGCCAUUUAAAGUGGUACGCGAGCUGGGUUUAGAACGUCGUGAGACAGUUCGGUCCCUAUCUGCCGUGGGCGCUGGAGAACUGAGGGGGGCUGCUCCUAGUACGAGAGGACCGGAGUGGACGCAUCACUGGUGUUCGGGUUGUCAUGCCAAUGGCACUGCCCGGUAGCUAAAUGCGGAAGAGAUAAGUGCUGAAAGCAUCUAAGCACGAAACUUGCCCCGA